Molecule: microRNA precursor, 84 nt
Filed under: Bombyx mori (domestic silkworm)
Lineage: Eukaryota; Metazoa; Arthropoda; Insecta; Lepidoptera; Bombycidae
Description: mir-2807 microRNA precursor family
Rfam family: mir-2807 microRNA precursor family
Source: Rfam by way of RNAcentral
UUAGUUCAUAUUUGUAUGGAGUGGGGUCGUUUGCGUACGUUUGCCGCUAGGGGCGCUGUUCCAAUUGCAUACAAAGAUGGCUCA